UACGAAGGGGGCUAGCGUUGCUCGGAAUCACUGGGCGUAAAGGGUGCGUAGGCGGGUCUUUAAGUCCGGGGUGAAAUCCUGGAGCUCAACUCCAGAACUGCCUUUGAUACUGAGGAUCUUGAGUUCGGGAGAGGUGAGUGGAACUGCGAGUGUAGAGGUGAAAUUCGUAGAUAUUCGGAAGAACACCAGUGGCGAAGGCGGCUCACUGGUCCGGUACUGACGCUGAGGUGCGAAAGCGUGGGGAGCAAACAGG
This 253-nucleotide ribosomal RNA is filed under the name uncultured bacterium. Its description in RNAcentral is "partial 16S ribosomal RNA". It matches the Rfam family "Bacterial small subunit ribosomal RNA", at positions 524 to 776 of the family's 1533-position model. The record is from RNAcentral.